ACUGUCUAAAAAUCACUCAAGGCUUGUUCUGUGGCUUGAGGUGAGACCAUGGUGCCCACUGUGACCAGGGGUCUUUAAGCUUACCACCCACAGACUGAGUGUGGAGGAUAAAACCUAGACCUCAACAAUU
This is a small nucleolar RNA of Dromiciops gliroides (monito del monte), 130 nucleotides long. RefSeq annotates it as small nucleolar RNA ACA64. Lineage: Eukaryota; Metazoa; Chordata; Mammalia; Microbiotheria; Microbiotheriidae. The record is from RefSeq and is a predicted model, not a curated record. The transcript has a single exon.